Molecule: ribosomal RNA, 375 nt
Filed under: uncultured bacterium
Lineage: Bacteria
Description: bacterial SSU rRNA
Rfam family: Bacterial small subunit ribosomal RNA
Source: RNAcentral
UACGGAGGGUGCAAGCGUUAUUCGGAAUUACUGGGCGUAAAGCGCACGCAGGCGGUCUGUCAAGUCGGAUGUGAAAUCCCCGGGCUCAACCUGGGAACUGCAUCCGAAACUGGCAGGCUAGAGUCCUGUAGAGGGGGGUAGAAUUCCAGGUGUAGCGGUGAAAUGCGUAGAGAUCUGGAGGAAUACCGGUGGCGAAGGCGGCCCCCUGGACAAAGACUGACGCUCAGGUGCGAAAGCGUGGGGAGCAAACAGGAUUAGAUACCCUGGUAGUCCACGCCGUAAACGAUGUCGACUAGGAGGUGGUGGCCUUGAGGCGUGGCUGCCGGAGCUAACGCGUUAAGUCGACCGCCUGGGGAGUACGGCCGCAAGGUUAAA